RNAcentral lists this ribosomal RNA (453 nucleotides) under uncultured bacterium. RNAcentral's name for it is "bacterial SSU rRNA". It matches the Rfam family "Bacterial small subunit ribosomal RNA", at positions 340 to 786 of the family's 1533-position model. The record is from RNAcentral.
UACGGAAGGCAGCAGGGGGAAUAUUGCACAAUGGGCGCAAGCCUGAUGCAGCCAUGCCGCGUGUAUGAAGAAGGCCUUCGGGUUGUAAAGUACUUUCAGUCGUGAGGAAGGUGUUAAGGUUAAUAACCUUAGCUAAUUGACGUUAGCGACAGAAGAAGCACCGGCUAACUCCGUGCCAGCAGCCGCGGUAAUACGGAGGGUGCGAGCGUUAAUCGGAAUUACUGGGCGUAAAGGGCACGCAGGCGGUUAAUUAAGUUGGAUGUGAAAUCCCCGGGCUUAACCUGGGAAUGGCAUUCAAGACUGGUUAGCUAGAGUCUUGUAGAGGGGGUAGAAUUCCAUGUGUAGCGGUGAAAUGCGUAGAGAUGUGGAGGAAUACCGGUGGCGAAGGCGGCCCCUGGACAAAGACUGACGCUCAUGUGCGAAAGCGUGGGGAGCAAACAGGGAUUAGAUACC